AUUGAACGCUGGCGGCAGGCUUAACACAUGCAAGUCGAGCGGGGAAGAGUAGCUUGCUACUUAACCUAGCUGCGGACGGGUGAGUAAUGCUUAGGAAUCUGCCUAUUAGUGGGGGACAACAUCUCGAAAGGCAUGCUAAUACCGCAUACGUCCUACGGGAGAAAGCAGUGGAUCACUUGUGACCUUGCGCUAAUAUAUGAGCCUAAGUCGGAUUAGCUAGUUGGGGGGGUAAAGGCCUACAAAGGCGACGAUCUGUAGCGGGUCUGAGAGGAUGAGCCGCCACACUGGGACUGAGACACGGCCCAGACUCCUACGGGAGGCAGCAGUGGGGAAUAUUGGACAAUGGGGGGAACCCUGAUCCAGCCAUGCCGCGUGUGUGAAGAAGGCCUUAUGGUUGUAAAGCACUUUAAGCGAGGAGGAGGCUCUUUUGGUUAAUACCCAAGAUGAGUGGACGUUACUCGCAGAAUAAGCACCGGCUAACUCUGUGCCAGCCGCCGCAGUAA
Molecule: ribosomal RNA, 503 nt
Filed under: uncultured bacterium
Lineage: Bacteria
Description: partial 16S ribosomal RNA
Rfam family: Bacterial small subunit ribosomal RNA
Source: RNAcentral